Long non-coding RNA from Xiphias gladius (swordfish), 2602 nucleotides. RefSeq lists it as uncharacterized. The record is from RefSeq and is a predicted model, not a curated record. NCBI's taxonomy places the organism in Eukaryota, Metazoa, Chordata, Actinopteri, Istiophoriformes, Xiphiidae. The transcript has 7 exons.
UAGGCUGACAGCACAGAGACAGUCAAGCUGCAUCCGACUCCGGCAGAUCAACGGGCUCCGGACAGACUAGUACAGGGUUGUGAUGCAGAGGAGGAAGGGCCUGCGGUGGGUGACAGAGGCCGGGAGAGCGGGGUUGAACAGGACAGUAAGAUAUGAAGAAUGAUACCAGGGGGUGGGGCUGCUGCAGCUCUGCAAAAUAAAACGACCUUCUUCAGCCUCCGACUGGUUAAAGUCACAACAUUUGUUGUGUUAACAGGAAAAAACCUUCAGUGUCAAAUCAGACUGAGUUUCUAGAGAAGACCGCGUUGUUGAGCCAACAUCUAAACCAAUCAGCUCCCAGCUCCGGUGAGAACCAGGUGUCUCCCAUCGUGGUUCGGACCAGCAGCUUCAGUAGUUAAUCACUGGUUUAACGCACCGCCCGGCGAUCGCGCCAGGGGACGCAAAUCACACACCCCAGCAACCACCGUGUGUUGCUGGCCAGCAGGUGCGUGAUGGCGCGGGGCUGCCGGUGGACCCAGCAGUCGGGUCGCGGUUCACCGAGGGGCUCCUGCCUCCGUUUCUGCUGUUCCCGACGGGCACAGUUGUGACUGCGGAGCCUGGUUCAGCUCAGCGUCUGGUUUUACACCCGAGGGAGGCCGCGGAGGACCCGCGCGUUCGGACAGUCAUCUCAGCCUGACGUGCAGAGCUAAACCGUCUCCACCCAGAGACAGUUUGACUGUGGACUGGUGGACAUCUAAACGCUUUGACGGGACUCCGUAAACCUUUCCAGCUUCAUGGAAAUAAACAACUCUAGAUCGUGGCUUGGAGCUUUUAAAACUGAGGAGCAGUGGUGACGGAAAUCCACUGCUCACUUCCACGUUGUUGGGGUUUUCGUCCGUCAGCGACUCUGCCGCUCGGACACGACGUCCUGCAGCCGCUUCAGCAGCACGUCGGGACUGCUGCCGUUCUCCGGGCACGCCCUCUUGCUGGGGGAGUCGCACAUGGCUGAGGACAUCAUCACGUCCCCCUCCAUGGUGAAGGCCCUCUUCCUGCUCACACAGCCCUGUCUGAUCAUCCGGUUGAUGUCCGAUAACUCCUGGAGGGAGCAGCACAAGCUGACACUCCUACCUUCCUGAAGAACAGAGCGAGUGAUCCGGUGCGUCGCGGCCGGCCGAUUCCUGUCUGGGGGUCAGAGGUCGUGGGUGCGGAGAUGACUCGGCUCGGGGAGGCGGUGAGCAGAAACUGAGCGGUGACGGCGCCGGAGGAGUCGCACGGCUGAACCGGGAUCAGUGCAAUAGCGCGCCAUUUAUUCCGUGAAAUGAUCGGGGAGCUGAUAAGCUUUUGAAAGUGGGAUACUGAGAACGGUGGUCUGGGCACCCUGGGCUCCAAUCUUCAGGGUGCUGCUCGAGCCGAACGUCAGCCUCUUGGCCGGAGACGACAACGGGCUCACGCCAGGGUUCAGCCCUGAUGUCGGGGCCGGAGGGUCGUCGCCGAAAAGACGCCGUUUGGCGCUGCCGGCCGCAGGAGAGCUGUACCUGUCGUGGACCGACAGGGGAGAGGGAGGCACAUCUGGAAGAAGGGCAGCCGUUUGGUCUCCUGAACCAAGACGUUCUCCAGGAUCUUGUAGUAAAGGAUCUCUGCCAGCUUCAGACGGUUCUCUGCAAAGUCUGAGACAAAAGACACCAGUUGUGUUUUAUACUGCGGGGCUGCUAAUGUUCCUUUAAGUCAAGGAUCCCGAAACGCGUGAAGCUGUUUGAAAUUAUUCUGUCCCACGUUAUCCCACCUGAGGCAACAAGGAAUGAUAGACAUUACUUCAUUCAAAAUGUACACUCAGUUGUCAGUUUAUUAGGAACACCUAGACUUGCAUUGCCUUAUAUGGACAGAUACUGUUAUUAUUUUAUCUACCUCAUUUAUAUCAAUGAGGAGAGGCUGUGUGUGUGUGUGGUACCUAUGUGAGACCCAGGUGUGUCCUCUGAGUCGUUGGUGUAAUGUUCUUUGAAGAGUUGUCCCAGGGUUUUUACUCUGGCCAGUAUGGACUCUGUGGGAUUUCUGGAGCACGACCUUUAACAGCAGCAGAGGAUCCACUGUUAGAACGCAGCGUCCGUUAUAUACAGUCUGCCCUAAACCCUGUGUGUUACUAACUUAACAGCUAAAAUUCCAAAAUAAUCACAAAGAAAAAAUCAUCUAAUGAGAGGAAACAAAUAGUUUUUAAAACAACUUUCCUUAGUAAACCUUCGUGACAUUUGUUAAGUACCUAUGAUGUAAAUUCUUCGCAUCUUCUUAUUUGUUUAUUUAUAGAAUUUACUGCAUACGAGAAUGAAAUGUGACCCGUUCAGAGGAUUUAAUAAUUCACCUUUGCCUUUUUUGAUCUUUUUCCGGUUUGAUAGAUUUAAUAUAUUUUUUCAAGACUUUUUAAAGUACUGUACAUUGUAACUGAAUUAUUAAUCCGCUCGGUGAGAAUGUAUUUAAACAAUCCCUUGAUAUGUGUGAGAAAUAAUGAUAGAUGACUUUCACAGGUUUGUAUAGUCUCUAAAGUCACAUAUUAAAAUUGUUCAACUUAUCAAAGCAAGUAAAUCAUCACAUUUAAGAAGAUGUGAUCAAACGGACGAGAUGCAGAAAGACA